GAUGAACGCUAGCGGGAGGCUUAAUACAUGCAAGUCGAACGGUAACAGCAGAGUUUACUUUGGCUGACGAGUGGCGCACGGGUGAGUAACGCGUACACUACCUACCUCGUACUGGGGAAUAGCCUCUGGAAACGGAGAAUAAUACCCCCAUGGUCCCGCAAGGGUAAAGCUCCGGCGGUAUGAGAUGGGUGUGCGUCCCAUUAGCUAGUUGGUGAGGUAACGGCUCACCAAGGCGACGAUGGGUAGGGGCGUGAGAGCGUGGCCCCCCACACGGGUACUGAGACACGGACCCGACUCCUACGGGAGGCAGCAGUAAGGAAUAUUGGACAAUGGGCGAAAGCCUGAUCCAGCCAUCCCGCGUGCAGGAUGACUGCCCUAUGGGUUGU
This 386-nucleotide ribosomal RNA is filed under the name uncultured bacterium. RNAcentral describes it as "bacterial SSU rRNA". It matches the Rfam family "Bacterial small subunit ribosomal RNA", at positions 28 to 426 of the family's 1533-position model. The record is from RNAcentral.